UACGGAGGGUGCAAGCGUUGUUCGGAAUUAUUGGGCGUAAAGCGCGCGCAGGCGGUCCUUUAAGUCUGAUGUGAAAGCCCACGGCUCAACCGUGGAGGGUCAUUGGAAACUGGGGGACUUGAGUACAGAAGAGGAAAGCGGAAUUCCAAGUGUAGCGGUGAAAUGCGUAGAGAUUUGGAGGAACACCAGUGGCGAAGGCGGCUUUCUGGUCUGUAACUGACGCUGAGGCGCGAAAGCGUGGGGAGCAAACAGG
This 253-nucleotide ribosomal RNA is filed under the name uncultured bacterium. RNAcentral describes it as "partial 16S ribosomal RNA". It matches the Rfam family "Bacterial small subunit ribosomal RNA", at positions 524 to 776 of the family's 1533-position model. The record is from RNAcentral.